GGCACAGUGGUUUAGUGGUCAUCACGUUUGCCUCACACCUUAGGGGUUGGGGGUUUGAAUCCAGCCUCUGCCU
Molecule: non-coding RNA, 73 nt
Organism: Ameiurus melas (black bullhead)
Lineage: Eukaryota; Metazoa; Chordata; Actinopteri; Siluriformes; Ictaluridae
Source: the annotation of a GenBank genome assembly